UUUUGGCUCAAGACGAACGCUGGCGGCGUGCCUAAUACAUGCAAGUCGUACGCUUCUUUUUCCACCGGAGCUUGCUCCACCGGAAAAAGAGGAGUGGCGAACGGGUGAGUAACACGUGGGUAACCUGCCCAUCAGAAGGGGAUAACACUUGGAAACAGGUGCUAAUACCGUAUAACAAUCGAAACCGCAUGGUUUUGAUUUGAAAGGCGCUUUCGGGUGUCGCUGAUGGAUGGACCCGCGGUGCAUUAGCUAGUUGGUGAGGUAACGGCUCACCAAGGCCACGAUGCAUAGCCGACCUGAGAGGGUGAUCGGCCACAUUGGGACUGAGACACGGCCCAAACUCCUACGGGAGGCAGCAGUAGGGAAUCUUCGGCAAUGGACGAAAGUCUGACCGAGCAACGCCGCGUGAGUGAAGAAGGUUUUCGGAUCGUAAAACUCUGUUGUUAGAGAAGAAUAAGGAUGAGAGUAACUGUUCAUCCCUUGACGGUAUCUAACCAGAAAGCCACGGCUAACUACGUGCCAGCAGCCGCGGUAAUACGUAGGUGGCAAGCGUUGUCCGGAUUUAUUGGGCGUAAAGCGAGCGCAGGCGGUUUCUUAAGUCUGAUGUGAAAGCCCCCGGCUCAACCGGGGAGGGUCAUUGGAAACUGGGAGACUUGAGUGCAGAAGAGGAGAGUGGAAUUCCAUGUGUAGCGGUGAAAUGCGUAGAUAUAUGGAGGAACACCAGUGGCGAAGGCGGCUCUCUGGUCUGUAACUGACGCUGAGGCUCGAAAGCGUGGGGAGCAAACAGGAUCAGAUACCCUGGUAGUCCACGCCGUAAACGA
Molecule: ribosomal RNA, 821 nt
Filed under: uncultured bacterium
Lineage: Bacteria
Description: bacterial SSU rRNA
Rfam family: Bacterial small subunit ribosomal RNA
Source: RNAcentral